AUUGAACGCUGGCGGCAGGCCUAACACAUGCAAGUCGAGCGGAUGAAGGGAGCUUGCUCCUGGAUUCAGCGGCGGACGGGUGAGUAAUGCCUAGGAAUCUGCCUGGUAGUGGGGGAUAACGUCCGGAAACGGGCGCUAAUACCGCAUACGUCAUGAGGGAGAAAGUGGUGGAUCUUCGGACCUCACGCUAUCAGAUGAGCCUAGGUCGGAUUAGCUAGUUGGUGGGGUAAAGGCCUACCAAGGCGACGAUCCGUAACUGGUCUGAGAGGAUGAUCAGUCACACUGGAACUGAGACACGGUCCAGACUCCUACGGGAGGCAGCAGUGGGGAAUAUUGGACAAAGGGCGAAAGCCUGAUCCAGCCAUGCCGCGUGUGUGAAGAAGGUCUUCGGAUUGUAAAGCACUUUAAGUUGGGAGGAAGGGCAGUAAGUUAAUACCUUGCUGUUUUGACGUUACCAACAGAAUAAGCACCGGCUAACUUCGUG
This 484-nucleotide ribosomal RNA is filed under the name uncultured bacterium. Its description in RNAcentral is "partial 16S ribosomal RNA". It matches the Rfam family "Bacterial small subunit ribosomal RNA", at positions 30 to 507 of the family's 1533-position model. The record is from RNAcentral.